GUCAAUUGUUGAGGAUUUGAUUUUGCCCAUUGAUGAGUGGUUCUUGCCCGUUGAUGAUGAUGAAUGGCUUUGUCAAUUAUAGUCCCAUUGAGGAAGAGAGGCUUCGACCUAAGGUGGAGAAAAGACAUAAAAUUCAAAAGAAAAGCAUUCUUGUCCAUUGAUGAGAGGGUUCUUGCCCAUGCAAUUGAAGACACCUUUUGUAGUGUAGUAGGUAAAGUAGUAAAUAUAUUAAGUUAUGUCUAAAGGAGAUUGAGAGAACUAAUUAAUGUAUUUACUAUGAGCAGUUAUGUGGGUGUAAUUGGGUUGAUGGAUAGUAUAAUUUUGAGCUUGUAA
RNAcentral lists this unclassified non-coding RNA (333 nucleotides) under Hevea brasiliensis (rubber tree). The record is from RNAcentral. Lineage: Eukaryota; Viridiplantae; Streptophyta; Magnoliopsida; Malpighiales; Euphorbiaceae.